UAGAGAACGUGAAGGAUAAUGUUGCUUUAGCAACGGCCCGAAGGGCGAGGCGAAGCCGAGUCAUCCUGCACGACCCACCA
Molecule: small RNA, 80 nt
Filed under: Salmonella enterica subsp. enterica serovar Bareilly
Lineage: Bacteria; Pseudomonadati; Pseudomonadota; Gammaproteobacteria; Enterobacterales; Enterobacteriaceae
Also listed under: 2 other names
Description: partial RtT sRNA
Rfam family: RtT RNA
About the family: This family represents a bacterial cis-regulatory element known as RtT RNA.
Source: RNAcentral